GUGGGGAAUCUUGGACAAUGGGCGCAAGCCUGAUCCAGCCAUGCCGCGUGAGUGAUGAAGGCCUUAGGGUUGUAAAGCUCUUUCGCCAGGGAAGAUAAUGACUGUACCUGGAUAAGAAGCCCCGGCUAACUCCGUGCCAGCAGCCGCGGUAAUACGGAGGGGGCUAGCGUUGUUCGGAAUUACUGGGCGUAAAGCGCACGGAGGCGGCUUUCCAAGUUGGGGUUGAAAUCCCUGGGCUUAAGCCAGGAACUGCCCUGAAAACUGGAGGGCUAGAGUCCGAGAGAGGUGAGUGGAAUUUCCAGUGAAGAGGUGAAAUACAUAGAUAUUGGAAAGAACACCAGUGGCGAAGGCGGCUCACUGGCUCGGGACUGACGCUGAGGUGCGACAGCGUGGGGAGCAAACAGGAUUAGAAACCCUAGUAGUCC
RNAcentral lists this ribosomal RNA (425 nucleotides) under uncultured bacterium. Its description in RNAcentral is "partial 16S ribosomal RNA". It matches the Rfam family "Bacterial small subunit ribosomal RNA", at positions 354 to 796 of the family's 1533-position model. The record is from RNAcentral.